AGACAGGCCGCCUCCCCACCAGCACAGAGGGGGUUCAGAGUCCUGCGCACAUGCUGUGAUGCGAACAUCCCUGGAACUGAAGUCUCACAGUGUCACACCCAUCAGAAUCUAAAAGUGUUCGUGGAAACACAUUCUACCCUAUGAGCCCACCAGGAGCUCUCUUCCCAGAGGCAGAUCAGGAUACUCUCUUUUCAGAUGCAGACUCACAUACUGGAUUUUCACAGCAGCUUAAAGGAAAACGAGGUAUUUCGAGGUCCUGCUCACACCUCUGCUGGAGGCGGACAAAGGAGGUAUUGAUGCCACUACCCAGGAUCGGACACAAACGGGACACACCAGAGCACAGCCCGAAAACACGCGCGGCAGGCAGGCCCACGGCCCAGAGCACGAAGACAUACGAGGACGACCUGUCCCAAAUGAGUCCUCCCAAGCCUCAUUUCCACCAUGUCUUCCUUUACGGUGGGCCCAGCUGCUGAGUGGACUUCCCCCCGUCGCAUUUUCAGAGAGAACUGAAUUUUACCUUCCCUCCUGCCCUGGUCCCGCCUCCCCAGUGCUGAGGACCACAGACCUCAGCCACUCCCACUGCCUCAAAAGCACCCUGAGAUCUAACUCUGAGCGCUGGCCCCACACCUGUCUCUCCAGGUCUUGUUCCUGCUCCACACAGCGCCCCUCCAGACACUGACUUCCCUGUCGCCCCGUGGCAGAGAGACACAGCGAGAGAGGGAACACAAGCCGGGAGAGUGGGAGAGGAAGAGGCAGGCUUCCCGCUGAGCAGGGAGCCCGAUGCAGGGCUCGAUCCCAGGACCCUGGGAUCAUGACCUGAGCCGAAGGCAGACGCCUAACAACUGAGACACCCAGGCGUCCAGACUAAUGUUACGUCCACAGGAUAAGGUGAUGCCAGAUCGGCCUCUACAUAAACCUCUCCGACAGACAGCGCCCAGCGCCGGGGCCUCACCCUGAGCCCCUUACCUGGGGCUGAUGGAGCCUCAAUCCCAAC
Long non-coding RNA from Mirounga angustirostris (Northern elephant seal), 994 nucleotides. RefSeq lists it as uncharacterized. The record is from RefSeq and is a predicted model, not a curated record. Lineage: Eukaryota; Metazoa; Chordata; Mammalia; Carnivora; Phocidae. The transcript is spliced from 3 exons.